UACGUAGGGUGCAAGCGUUGUCCGGAAUUAUUGGGCGUAAAGAGCUCGUAGGCGGUCUGUCGCGUCGGCUGUGAAAACCCGAGGCUCAACCUCGGGCCUGCAGUCGAUACGGGCAAACUAGAGUACUGCAGGGGAGACUGGAAUUCCAGGUGUAGCGGUGAAAUGCGUAGAUAUCUGGAGGAACACCGGUGGCGAAGGCGGCAUCCUGGACCGAUACUGACGCUGAGGAGCGAAAGCCAGGGGAGCAAACGGG
This 253-nucleotide ribosomal RNA is filed under the name uncultured bacterium. RNAcentral's name for it is "partial 16S ribosomal RNA". It matches the Rfam family "Bacterial small subunit ribosomal RNA", at positions 524 to 776 of the family's 1533-position model. The record is from RNAcentral.